RNAcentral lists this ribosomal RNA (253 nucleotides) under uncultured bacterium. RNAcentral describes it as "partial 16S ribosomal RNA". It matches the Rfam family "Bacterial small subunit ribosomal RNA", at positions 524 to 776 of the family's 1533-position model. The record is from RNAcentral.
UACGAAGGGGGCUAGCGUUGUUCGGAUUUACUGGGCGUAAAGCGCACGUAGGCGGAUCGUUAAGUCGGGGGUGAAAUCCUGGAGCUCAACUCCAGAACUGCCUUCGGUACUGGCGAUCUUGAGUCCGGAAGAGGUGAGUGGAACUCCUAGUGUAGAGGUGGAAUUCGUAGAUAUUAGGAAGAACACCAGUGGCGAAGGCGGCUCACUGGUCCGGUACUGACGCUGAGGUGCGAAAGCGUGGGGAGCAAACAGG